RNAcentral lists this ribosomal RNA (1774 nucleotides) under marine metagenome. Its description in RNAcentral is "eukaryotic LSU rRNA". It matches the Rfam family "Eukaryotic large subunit ribosomal RNA", at positions 747 to 2526 of the family's 3401-position model. The record is from RNAcentral.
CGUAAGGCGCACCUCCGGCAGCACCUGAUUUUCUAUGAAAUGUCUAGCAAGAGCAUAUAAGUUGGGACCCGAAAGAUGGUGAUCUAUGCUUGUGCAGGAUGAAGUCAGGGGAAACCCUGAUGGAGGUCCGAAGCGAUACUGACGUGCAAAUCGUUCGUCUGACAUGAGUAUAGGGGCGAAAGACUAAUCGAACCAUCUAGUAGCUGGUUCCCUCCGAAGUUUCCCCCAGGAUAGCUGGAGCUCGUAGAGUUUUAUCAGGUAAAGCGAAUGAUUAGAGGAUUUGGGGUUGACACAACCUUGGCCUAUUCUCAAACUUUAAAUGGGUAAGACGUCUGGGUUUCUUAAUUGAACCAAGACAUUGAAUCGGAGCUCUUAGUGGGCCAUUUUUGGUAAGCAGAACUGGCGAUGCGGGAUGAACCGGAAGCUGAGAUAAGGUGCCUAACUACUCGCUCAUUCAGAUACCAUAAAAGGUGUUGGUUGAUGAAGACAGCAGGACGGUGGUCAUGGAAGUCGAAAUCCGCUAAGGAAUGUGUAACAACUCACCUGCCGAAUCAAUUAGCCCUGAAAAUGGAUGGCGCUCAAGCGAGUGACCGAGACUCAGCCGUUGAUGUAAAUGCGAUACGUCAACGAGUAGGAGGGAGUACCGGUGGCGCCGAAGCUUAGGGUGCAAACCCUUGUGAAGCUGCCGGUAGUGCAGAUCUUGGUGUUAGUAGCAAAUAUUCAAAUGAAAACUUUGAAGACCGAAGUGGAGAAAGGUUUCACGUGAACAUCAUUUGGACGUGAGUGACUCGGUCCUAAGCAAAGCGGUAGCUCGUUGGGAUCGGGGCUCUCGCAGCCCCGUCUUGCAAAAGGGAAGCAGGUUAAUAUUCCUGCAGCUUGUUAAGUUGCUGAGCGGUAACGCGUUCGAACCAUCUGACAGCAGCGGAGGCUCCGGGAAGAGUUUUCUUUUCUUCUUGACGUACUUGUUAACUACGGAAUCGGUUUGUCCGGAGAGGUAGUUAACUUGCAGGCAAAGCAGCUGGCCUCUUCAGCUGUCCGGUGCGUCUCCGAUGUUCCUUGAAAAAGCAGGGGAGUAGUUUGCACCAUGGCAAGUCCGUACUCAUAACCGCAUCAGGUCUCCAAGGUUAACAGCCUCUGGUCGAUAGAACAAUGUAGGUAAGGGAAGUCGGCAAAUUAGGUCCGUAACUUCGGGAAAAGGACUGGCUCUUAGGGCUGGGCGUCUGAGGCUCUGUCGCAAAACCCAAUUGGUGAGAGGAACUGGCCGGCCACCUUCGGGGCGCUGGCUGGAUCCUUCCUGCCGAGAGGGCGGCGCGUCGAGUUCCUUUCGGGGUAUCUCUGCGUAUUGAACAGCCAACUGAGAACUGGCGCGGACAAGGGGAAUCCGACUGUUUAAUUAAAACAAAGUAUUGCGAGAGUCAGAAAUGAUUUUGACGCAAUGUGAUUUCUGCCCAGUGCUCUGAAUGUCAAAGUGAUGUGAUUCAACCAAGCGCGGGUAAACGGCGGGAGUAACUAUGACUCUCUUAAGGUAGCAACAUGCUUCGUCAUCUAAUCAGUGAUGCGCAUGCAUGGAUUAACGAGAUCCCCGCUGUCCCUAUCUACUAUCUAACGAAACCACAGCCAAGGGAACGGCCUUGGGGUAGUCAGCGGGGCAAGCAGACCCUGUUAAGCUUGACUCUAGUCUGACAUUGUGAAAUUUCUUUGGAGGUGCAGAUAUACUUGGGAGUUGAAAGUCGCCUGUCAGAUAACACUACUUCUAGUGCAGGUUUACAUAGAU